GGCCCAGUGGUCCAGUGGUAAAGCGCUCGUCGCGGAGCCAUAGGGUCCUGGGUUUGAUCCUCAACUGGGUCG
Molecule: transfer RNA, 72 nt
Filed under: Schistosoma japonicum
Lineage: Eukaryota; Metazoa; Platyhelminthes; Trematoda; Strigeidida; Schistosomatidae
Description: tRNA-OTHER
Source: RNAcentral